GACGAACGCUGGCGGCGUGCUUAACACAUGCAAGUCGAACGGAAAGGCCCUGCUUUUGUGGGGUGCUCGAGUGGCGAACGGGUGAGUAACACGUGAGUAACCUGCCCUUGACUUUGGGAUAACUUCAGGAAACUGGGGCUAAUACCGGAUAGGAGCUCCUGCUGCAUGGUGGGGGUUGGAAAGUUUCGGCGGUUGGGGAUGGACUCGCGGCUUAUCAGCUUGUUGGUGGGGUAGUGGCUUACCAAGGCUUUGACGGGUAGCCGGCCUGAGAGGGUGACCGGCCACAUUGGGACUGAGAUACGGCCCAGACUCCUACGGGAGGCAGCAGUGGGGAAUAUUGCACAAUGGGCGGAAGCCUGAUGCAGCAACGCCGCGUGCGGGAUGACGGCCUUCGGGUUGUAAACCGCUUUCGCCUGUGACGAAGCGUGAGUGACGGUAAUGGGUAAAGAAGCACCGGCUAACUACGUGCCAGCAGCCGCGGUGAUACGUAGGGUGCGAGCGUUGUCCGGAUUUAUUGGGCGUAAAGGGCUCGUAGGUGGUUGAUCGCGUCGGAAGUGUAAUCUUGGGGCUUAACCCUGAGCGUGCUUUCGAUACGGGUUGACUUGAGGAAGGUAGGGGAGAAUGGAAUUCCUGGUGGAGCGGUGGAAUGCGCAGAUAUCAGGAGGAACACCAGUGGCGAAGGCGGUUCUCUGGGCCUUUCCUGACGCUGAGGAGCGAAAGCGUGGGGAGCGAACAGGCUUAGAUACCCUGGUAGUCCACGCUGUAAACGGUGGGUACUAGGUGUGGGGUCCAUUCCACGGGUUCCGUGCCGUAGCUAACGCUUUAAGUACCCCGCCUGGGGAGUACGGCCGCAAGGCUAAAACUCAAAGGAAUUGACGGGGCCCCGCACAAGCGGCGGAGCAUGCGGAUUAAUUCGAUGCAACGCGUAGAACCUUACCUGGGUUUGACAUGGAUCGGGAGUGCUCAGAGAUGGGUGUGCCUCUUUUGGGGUCGGUUCACAGGUGGUGCAUGCCUGUCGUCAGCUCGUGUCGUGAGAUGUUGGGUUAAGUCCCGCAACGAGCGCAACCCUUGUUCACUGUUGCCAGCACGUUAUGGUGGGGACUCAGUGGAGACCGCCGGGGUCAACUCGGAGGAAGGUGGGGAUGACGUCAAGUCCUCAUGCCCCUUAUGUCCAGGGCUUCACGCAUGCUACAAUGGCUGGUACAGAGAGUGGCGAGCAUGUGAGGGUGAGCGAAUCUCGGAAAGCCGGUCUCAGUUCGGAUUGGGGUCUGCAACUCGACCUCAUGAAGUCGGAGUCGCUAGUAAUCGCAGAUCAGCAACGCUGCGGUGAACACGUUCCCGGGGCU
This 1346-nucleotide ribosomal RNA is filed under the name uncultured bacterium. Its description in RNAcentral is "bacterial SSU rRNA". It matches the Rfam family "Bacterial small subunit ribosomal RNA", at positions 28 to 1381 of the family's 1533-position model. The record is from RNAcentral.